RNAcentral lists this ribosomal RNA (443 nucleotides) under uncultured bacterium. RNAcentral describes it as "partial 16S ribosomal RNA". It matches the Rfam family "Bacterial small subunit ribosomal RNA", at positions 338 to 795 of the family's 1533-position model. The record is from RNAcentral.
CCUACGGGAGGCUGCAGUGGGGAAUAUUGGGCAAUGGGCGCAAGCCUGACCCAGCAACGCCGCGUGAAGGACGAAGGCUUUCGGGUUGUAAACUUCUUUUCUCAGGGACGAAACAAGUGACGGUACCUGAGGAAUAAGCCACGGCUAACUACGUGCCAGCAGCCGCGGUAAUACGUAGGGGGCAAGCGUUAUCCGGAUUUACUGGGUGUAAAGGGCGUGUAGGCGGGACUGCAAGUCAGAUGUGAAAACCAUGGGCUCAACCUAUGGCCUGCAUUUGAAACUGUAGUUCUUGAGUACUGGAGAGGCAGACGGAAUUCUUAGUGUAGCGGUGAAAUGCGUAGAGAUUAGGAGGAACACCAGUGGCGAAGGCGGUCUGCUGGACAGCAACUGACGCUGAGGCGCGAAAGCGUGGGGAGCAAACAGGAUUAGAUACCCUUGUAGUC